This 253-nucleotide ribosomal RNA is filed under the name uncultured bacterium. RNAcentral describes it as "partial 16S ribosomal RNA". It matches the Rfam family "Bacterial small subunit ribosomal RNA", at positions 524 to 776 of the family's 1533-position model. The record is from RNAcentral.
UACGUAGGCAGCGAGCGUUGUUCGGAAUUACUGGGCGUAAAGAGUGUGUAGGCGGUGUUCCCAGUCUGUUGUGAAAUCUCCCGGCUUAACUGGGAGGGUGCAGCGGAAACUAGAAUGCUAGAGGGUGGGAGAGGUAAGCGGAAUUCCUGGUGUAGCGGUGAAAUGCGUAGAUAUCAGGAGGAACACCGGCGGUGUAGACGGCUUACUGGACCAUGACUGACGCUGAGGCACGAAAGCGUGGGGAGCAAACAGG